RNAcentral lists this ribosomal RNA (406 nucleotides) under uncultured archaeon. RNAcentral describes it as "bacterial SSU rRNA". It matches the Rfam family "Archaeal small subunit ribosomal RNA", at positions 321 to 727 of the family's 1478-position model. The record is from RNAcentral.
CCCUAUGGGGUGCAGCAGGCGCGAAAACUCUACAAUGCAGGCAACUGCGAUAGGGGAACAUCGAGUGAUCCUCAUAUUGGGGGUCUGUCCACCCGUCUAAAAAACGGGUGUUAGCAAGGGCCGGGCAAGACCGGUGCCAGCCGCCGCGGUAAUACCGGCGGCUCGAGUGGUGGCCGAUAUUAUUGAGUCUAAAGGGUCCGUAGCCGGCUUUGCAAGUCUCUCGGGAAAUCCAGCGGCUUAACCGUUGGUCGUCCGGGGGGUACUACAUUGCUUGGGACUGGGAGAGGUAGGAGGUACUCAGGGGGUAGGAGUGAAAUCCUGUAAUCCUUUGGGGACCACCGGUGGCGAAGGCGUCCUACCAGAACAGGUCCGACGGUGAGGGACGAAAGCUAGGGGCACGAACCGG